GGGAGGCAGCAGUGAGGAAUAUUGCGCAAUGGAGGAAACUCUGACGCAGCCAUGCCGCGUGCAGGAAGACGGCCCUACGGGUUGUAAACUGCUUUUAUAUAGGAAGAAACCCCGAUACGUGUAUCGGCUUGACGGUACUAUAUGAAUAAGGACCGGCUAACUCCGUGCCAGCAGCCGCGGUAAUACGGAGGGUCCAAGCGUUAUCCGGAUUUAUUAGGUUUAAAGGGUCCGCAGGCGGGAUUUUAAGUCAGUGGUGAAAGCCUACAGCUCAACUGUAGAACUGCCAAUGAUACUGAUAUCCUUGAGUGUGGUUGAAGUGGGCGGAGCAUGUCAUGUAGCGGUGAAAUGCAUAGAUAUGACAUAGAACACCAAUUGCGAAGGCAGCUCACUAAGCCAUUACUGACGCUGAGGGACGAAAGCGUGGGGAGCGAACAGGAUUAGAUACCCUGGUAGUCCACGCCGUAAACGAUGAUCACUCGUUGCUAGCGAUACACUGUUAGUGACCAAGCGAAAGUGUUAAGUGAUCCACCUGGGAAGUACGUUCGCAAGAAUGAAA
RNAcentral lists this ribosomal RNA (556 nucleotides) under uncultured bacterium. Its description in RNAcentral is "bacterial SSU rRNA". It matches the Rfam family "Bacterial small subunit ribosomal RNA", at positions 343 to 899 of the family's 1533-position model. The record is from RNAcentral.